Molecule: microRNA precursor, 47 nt
Organism: Astatotilapia calliptera (eastern happy)
Lineage: Eukaryota; Metazoa; Chordata; Actinopteri; Cichliformes; Cichlidae
Source: Ensembl
AGACUCUGUAGCUCUCUCAGAGGGAGAGAGCUACAGAGUCUGAGAGC